This 4827-nucleotide long non-coding RNA is filed under the name Olea europaea subsp. europaea. The record is from RNAcentral. Lineage: Eukaryota; Viridiplantae; Streptophyta; Magnoliopsida; Lamiales; Oleaceae.
GCCAAUGGUUUUACCCAAGGCUCUGUUACAAAAUUCGGGAUUAAAUCCACCUCGAUCCUUGACCUUGAAUUUCAUGGCCCCGCAUAAUAAUCAAGGGCCGCAACCCCUCGGUGACAGGCCUGUUUUUUGAAAGGCAAACCUCUUCACCCAAAUUGUAAUAGAUUAUACAAUAUGCAAAGGCUUAAAAGGUAAAACACAGAAAGGAUAAAAUAGAACCCAACUGUCCAAUCGCAGGAAAAAAAAUGGGAUUUGCUCAAUCAGUUGAAUAAUCCGUUAAAUCUUAGCUUCGUAAAAGAUGCUGAUGAUCGAACCUUCCGCCACCGCAGCCGUCCGUUUCUCCGCCUUAAACUUCGAUUCUUCCACCCGCCUCUACACUCAUUCUGCCACCUCCCUCUCCCGGUACCAUUUAUUUAUUAUUGUUGUUUUUUAUUUGAGCUAGAAUUUCAGAUUUUGGUACGUUGUUUGGAAGAAAAUGUGAUUUUUGUGGUAAUGAUGUAAGAUUUGUUAGUGAAUUUGGUUGGCUGAAAAGUGCAGGAGGUUGAGCGAUGAUUCGGUUGGAAGAAGGGUAAAAUGUGGGAAUUGUAUUAGAGCAACUGCAAAAGAACAAUCCAGCUCGAGUUCGGGGUUCGAGAAGCAGAAAGGGAAUUCACAGAAGUAUCAUCCGUUUGAGGAAAUUGCAGAGUCGGAGUUAUUAGAGAACGUGGAAGCCACUCUAUCGCCUGCUGAAACUACUAGAACCAUUAUUGAGGUAUCAGUAUAAAUGCAAGGGGAAAAUGUGAUUUUCAAUAAUUAUUGAUUUUCGACAGUUGAAAAUUGUCUAUAAAAUGUGAACUGUAUAAACCCUCAUUCAUUAAUACUGUUUGGAUAAUGUUAUUUUUCUAGGUAAAUAGCAAAGCAAUGAUGAUGUUUUCAGGCUUCGUGAGUGAUGAAAUUCAUGAAAACGUAUUCUGGCCAGAUUUACCUUAUGUAACUGAUGAACAUGGAAGUAAGAUAAUAAUCUUUUGUUUAUAAUUCUCAUGUUUAUUACGGGUAGCAAUUGUUUGGUUAAGCAGCAUUGUCGUUAAUACUUUUAUUUACUUAUUGUCAGAUAUAUACUUUCAAGUGAAGAAUGAUGAAGAUAUUUUGCAAACCUUAUCCACCGAGGAAAACAUUGUGGUAAGAUUUGUUCUAUAAAAUUGAUUCCGUUUAAUUAAUAAGUUAUUAUUUUGGGACACUAAAACUGUUUUUCUCCUAUGAAGUGUAAUACUCCUAUUGCUCGUCGUCUGUUAUGUUUUCUCCUAUAUAGGUCUAAUUAUUCCUAAAUUCUUUAAUGUUUUCUCUUUCUGGUGUUUAAUAUGUUAAAAAUUUCUGAUAUGGCAAACAUAAUGGUAUACAUCAUCUGUCUGCAGCUUGAAAAAAGUAAAAUUUUUUUAUCUUUUCUUCACUACAUGCAUUAUCCAACUUUAAAUGAUUGUUUUGAAGCCAUACUUGAUUUUAAAAAAUGCAGCAAGUUAUUAUUGGACUGGAUACUGCAGAGAUGAUUAGUGAGGUUGAGUUGCUAGGUCAUUCAGAAAUUGAUUUUGGCAUUGAUGAGUUAGAUGAUGAAGAUAGUGAUUUCCAUGAUGAAGAGGACGAUGACACUGAAAACGAUAACUAUGGAAAGGUGGUAACUUUUCCUUCAAUUCCCCCUUCAAGUUUCAGAUUGUAGUUUUCUGCAGUAUGUGGACAUUGAUAUUGUUCAUCUGCAGGACUGGGUUGGUGUUCUUGAUGAUGAAGAAGAAGAUCUGGAUGAGGACUCUGAUGGAUCCAUAGGGGACUGGGCUAAAUUGGAGACCAUGCGGUCUUCUCAUCCAAUGCAUUUUGCCAAAAAGCUAGUUGAGGUGACUCUCCUAAUCAAAUUUGCUACAUAGUGUAGUAUUAGAAAAGUAGAUCGAAAAAAGUGGAACAUGGAAUACCAUUCUACUAAAUUGACUUUCCGACUAAAAUUACUAUAAUAUUUUUGCCUUUAUUUUGUCAUCGUCAUAUUCCCUUCUCUAAUUUAAAAUGAAUCAAGUUAAUACACCAUCAUAUAUCCAUUUUUGUGAAUCUAUUUUUGUUACAGGUUGUGUCUGAUAAUCCAGAUGAAUAUAUGGAGCAGCCUUCUGCUGGUCUUGCCAUACAAGGCCUCCUAAGACCUGCAUUUAUUGAAGAACACUCUGUCAUCCAGAACCAUAAAUCUAGUGGUGCUGAUACUAAUUACAUUUCUGAAGAACAAAUUCAAGAAGCCAUUUUUCAGAUCAAUGGUCACAAACCCGAAAAUGAAACUAUGCAAGGUAGCCCAAAUUUGGCAGGGGAAUUGGAGAAGGAUGAAAUGCUGGGAAAUGGAACUUUAUUUUACAAGCUAGAGAUGAUUAAAAUUCAGUUAGUUUCAUCACAUGGACAUCCGGUACUUUUGAUUUUUCUUUGAGAAUCUCAAGAUUGCAUGGUGCUCUCAUUUCUUCUGACCUUUACUUCUUCAUAUUUAAACUUUUUUGGUUCUCAUACUUGAGAAAGCUGCUGAAUCUACUCUAUUUUCUGCCUCUUUUGUAACUCUGCAUGUUCACAACUAUGUUUUGAUAGCAAUCCUAAAGUUGGCAGAAGUCAUCCAUGCCAUUUAGUGAAAUUUCUUUCAGCAUAUAUAUGUUCCAUGUACACAAUAUAGUUAUCUGUGGCGUGUUUAUUUCAUCUAAUAUUAGAAUGGAGAUGAAAAGUUUUGCUUGAUUCCUCUUCUUUUUCUUAAAAUACUCUGCUUUCAUGUCCUUGCAAUUGUUUACUAUCAGAAAUGAUACGUAGGGACCUGAAAAGGAGUUGUAGAGGAUAGAUGAGGAAAAGAAGAUGAAGGAAAUUAUGCUAUCAAUUUUCCCAUUACCCCAUGUUGAAUGAAAAACGUUUAUUUCUCUUUCUGAAAGCAGUGGGCUUUAAAUGGCAAACAACGAUUGGGAUGAGAAUAUCCCCCAAAUAGUAGGGGGCAGCCUUCCGUUUGAUACUAAUAGAUAUAUCUUUUGUACUCAAGGUCCAUCUCAAAUAUCGUAAAUAUCAACACCUCAAAUGAUGAACCUUCUUAUCAUUAGGGCAUGUUCUUAACUUGAACCAACUGUUUGACUUGAGAAAUAACUUGACUCUGUGUUUGCAAGUAUGCUGCUGCAAUGACUUGGCUGUACAAAUUUGACAUCCCAGACUUUGUGUCAGAUGUAUUUGAACAAAUAUAGAUUGUAAUGUACUUGACAGUUGCCUUUCUAUGCUACGUAUACUGAUGCGAUUAAAUUUCAAAUAGUAUUACGCAUUGAAUGCACCACUUUGAGGUGGUCUAUCCUUUUGCUAUUAGGAUGGGAAAGCAUAAAUUACUUUUUUUGUUCUGUUUGUGCUUUCUACAGAAUUUUGUUGAUAUAGAAGAUUUUAUGAAAGCUCAACCUGAUGCAAUAGUACAUUCAGCUGCAAAAAUUAUAUCUCGUGUCAAAUCUGGUGGAGAAAAGACUACACAAGCUCUCAAAUCUCUGUGCUGGAGAUGCAAGGGUAUUCAAGUGGAGGUGACACAAUGGAGUUAUAUUAAUCUGUAAUUGUAUCAUGCCUGUUAACUUGAAGUAAACUUUGCAUUGUUUGUAACUUGGAAAAUUGACAUGAAAAUAAGAUUAUAAUUUCACCCAUUCUUUGGUGACAUUUACAGCAUGAAGAAAGUGAGAGGAAUCAAUAUCUACUUCUCCUCACCCAUCUCUUCAUGAACAAGGCCUUUUAAACUUAUUCCCUCCUGGAAACUUAGUACUUACUUUUGCGAGAUUAAUUUGUUAAGAAUUUAAAUUGUGUAUGAAAAGUUACGUUCAUAAUAUUGGACCCUCAUCCAGUUGACGUUCUAUAUACUCUCUUGCAAUAUAUUGUCUUGGAAUACAAGAGAAGGCCAUCUAACAUAUUAAGAGAGAGUCAGAAAAGUUAUUUUUCUGCAAGCAAGUUCUUUUGCUAAUUUUAUAUAUUGAAUUUGUGACAGGAGGUGGCUCUUAUAGGUGUAGACAGCCUUGGUUUUGACUUAAGAAUUUGCUGUGGAACACAAGUACAAACAUUGCGUUUUGCAUUUAAGAAGAGGGUAUAUACUUUUUGUUCUUUACUUUUAUAUUCCAUCAAUUUCAUAUGCUCGUACUCAUCUUGGACCCAUGUGUUUGCAAUGAAAGAACAAUCUCUCUUAUCGUGAUGCAUGGCCUGGACUAUAUACAAAAUAGUGAAAAUUACCUUUUUAUAUAUCUCUCUCCUCUCCCUCUUUAACAAGUUGAUUUCCAGGCCUCUUCGGAGUAUAGCGCUGAAAGACAGUUGAAUGAUCUACUGUUUCCAAGAGUCCACAAGUUUCAACAAAAGAAAGAAUCUCAACAGACUGAAUCAUAACAUAUAGGUAUUCAAGUUCAUUUCUGUUUGUUCACCUCGUGUGCAUGUUUUAAAAGUUGUAUGCGAACAGCACAAGGGGAAUUCUUUUCUUGUUACCAGUUUCCUUGUAUCUUAACUGCUAGGUGAUUACUUUUAUUCUCUCUAUUUUAUCCCGGCCUCAACUGUAUAAGCUGAAUUUUGGUUUUGAUUGUGCUAUUCUAAAGGCAUCCACUGUUUACGCUGCUUAUGUACUUCUUGAGACUGAUAUUAACCUAUUGUCUCGUUACACAACUGAGGUGCAUGACUUGUGUUCUUGAAUGACUCAAUUUGAGGGCGAGGGAGGAGCUGGGUAACUUGAGGUCCGAAGGGGGCUUGCUGGUUUUAUUUAUUUUUUUAAUCAAGGUUAUAAUUUUCAUUUCAAAUUGUUAUUAUCACUAAAACGUGGCCAAUUAACCUUUUGUUACACAAAAUUAGGUGGUGGGA